This 74-nucleotide transfer RNA is filed under the name Gammaproteobacteria bacterium. Its description in RNAcentral is "tRNA-Arg". It matches the Rfam family "tRNA". Rfam says of the family: Transfer RNA (tRNA) molecules are approximately 80 nucleotides in length. RNAcentral also lists the same sequence under 1 other name. Lineage: Bacteria; Pseudomonadati; Pseudomonadota; Gammaproteobacteria. The record is from RNAcentral.
GCCCCGGUAGCUCAGCUGGAUAGAGCAACAGCCUUCUAAGCUGUAGGUCACAGGUUCGAAUCCUGUCCGGGGUA